RNAcentral lists this ribosomal RNA (457 nucleotides) under Ototyphlonemertes norenburgi. Its description in RNAcentral is "partial large subunit ribosomal RNA". It matches the Rfam family "Bacterial large subunit ribosomal RNA", at positions 1828 to 2597 of the family's 2925-position model. The record is from RNAcentral. Lineage: Eukaryota; Metazoa; Nemertea; Enopla; Monostilifera; Ototyphlonemertidae.
UGCCUUUUGAGUUUUUUUUAAAGGUUAUUUCUGCUCGGUGUUCUUUAACAGCCGCGGUAAUUUGACCGUGCAAAGGUAGCAUAAUCAUUUGCCUUGUAAUUUAGGGCUGGAAUGAAUGAAUUAACAAAGGUUUUUCUUUAUUAAAAAAAGUUAUUGAAUUUUCUUUCUCAGUGAAGAAGCUGAGAUUCAAAAAGGGGACAAGAAGACCCUUUCGAGCUUUACUGAGGUUUCCUUUUUGGUUGAACUUAGUUUGGUUGGGGCGACCUAGGAAUUAGAUCUUCCUUUAUUUAUUUUGAUCCACAGUUUGUGAUUGAAAGAGCAAGUUACCGAAGGGAUAACAGCGUAAUUUUCUUUGAGAGUUCUUAUUAAAAAGAAAGAUUGCGACCUCGAUGUUGACUUAUAGUUUCCUUUUGGUGUAGCCGCUAUGAGGGUGGGUCUGUUCGACCUUUAAAACUUU